RNAcentral lists this long non-coding RNA (255 nucleotides) under Elaeis guineensis (African oil palm). Its description in RNAcentral is "long non-coding RNA (EGUI_LNC078413)". Lineage: Eukaryota; Viridiplantae; Streptophyta; Magnoliopsida; Arecales; Arecaceae. The record is from RNAcentral.
AGCGGGCUCGACUCCUGUAGCUGCCUUAAUUUGCUUCAGUUCACAUUAAAACACCGACAACCCACUUGUAGCCAAGCACCGUCACCACCUCCUCUUUCUUUCUAGAGAGAUUUCUUUUUCCUCCCACCGCGUUCCGCCUCCAAUGAUUUCUAAUACCGGUUGCACUUUUUUUCUUCUUGGUUUUGACUCCAUUUGUCUCCAUUCCAAAUCUUUGGAAUCUGAUGCAUAGUGGCCUAAUCUCCUUAGUUGGGACCC